Molecule: unclassified non-coding RNA, 311 nt
Organism: Macaca nemestrina (pig-tailed macaque)
Lineage: Eukaryota; Metazoa; Chordata; Mammalia; Primates; Cercopithecidae
Gene: 7SK
Rfam family: 7SK RNA
About the family: 7SK was discovered as an abundant small nuclear RNA in the mid-70s but a possible function has only recently been suggested. Two independent studies have found that 7SK RNA binds the CDK9/cyclin T complex (known as elongation factor P-TEFb).
Source: Ensembl
GGAUGAGGGCGAUCUGGCUGUAAUAUCUGUCACCCCAUCAGUCACCAAGGUUGGUUAGCUCAUCUGGCUGGUGUCCCCGUCUUCCCUCACCGCUCCACGUGCGUCCCUCCUGAAGCUGUGCGCUUGGCUGAAGAGGACCACCACCUCCAAUAGAGGAGGAGCGGUCUUCGGUCCAGGGUAUAUGAGUAGCUGCACCCCCCUGCUAGAACCUCCAAACAAGCUCUCAAAUACACCCAUUUUUUGAAGUCCCUCAUCUUAUCACCCACUUCUUUUAUUUUAUUAAGUAUAUUAAACAUGCAAUAUCAUGUAUU